CAUGAAUAGCAGCAGAAGAAAAAACACAUCGCCAGAGGAUCGUUCAAGUACAGUAGGCUGCGUGGAGUCUGCAUCGGCAGGGGCCUGCACCUCAUGGAUCUUCUGAGCAGAGCUACACCUGCUUCUCCAUCGCCGUGCCACUCAGUGAUGGAGGUUAUACAAGGAUCAGGAUGUCAGGGGGUGAUGAUGCAGUGUCAGGAUGGUCCCCAGCUGAGCCAUCGGUGUGGAGAGGACUAAACCCUGUAAAGUGAUUGUAAAACCUCCAUGACUUCUCUCUUUCAACUCAAUCCAUGUGCUCAAGUUGUUCAGCCUUCAGCUGUGAUCUUCAGCUGCGGCCAUGUUUGCACUGUGGGAUGAGGUAGUAGGUUGAAUAGUUUUAGGGUCAUACCCGCACUGGGAGAUAACUAUUCAAGCUACUGUCUUUCUCAAAGUGACAAAUGCAUCUUCCCUAUGUUGGUUUUGUAAAGCUCCGUAUGUUGGAAGUAGUUGCUCACGCGGCGUGAGGUAGUAGUUUGUAUAGUUGACGGGUUGUGAUUUUGCCCUCUUCUGGAGAUAACUAUACAAUCUAUUGCCUUCCUUGAGGAGUGCCAUUACCUUCAUUAUUGCGAGUAGGGAGUAUUUGAUUCUGCUUCUAUGGUUUGUCAUUGCACCUUUAGUGUUUGUCAUCAUUUUGUGUUGGUGUAACAAAAAACACAAAACUCAAAACACUCGUUCUUGGGUCUGUUUAGUUUUAUUUUGCACUACUUGGUUUGGUCAGUAGGGGGUGCAAAGUGUACACUGAUUAUUUAGGAGAAGCUAAAGGGGACUGUCAGGUCUUUCCAGCAACGCUACGGAAAGGAAGCAACAGUCUUUGGACCGUUGCUGGUGGUCAGACAUCAUGGAUUUCACCACAUUUGAUGCACUGGACUUUUAAGUGAUGUGCGUUUAAUGGAUUGUCAAGAAAGCUGCAAGUAUGAUUUUAAGUCAACUUCCUUUAUUAAACUUGUUGCAUUAUAAA
Molecule: long non-coding RNA, 997 nt
Organism: Dunckerocampus dactyliophorus (ringed pipefish)
Lineage: Eukaryota; Metazoa; Chordata; Actinopteri; Syngnathiformes; Syngnathidae
Exons: 2
Source: RefSeq, a predicted model, not a curated record